CCUACGGGGGGCUGCAGUGGGGAAUAUUGGACAAUGGGCGAAAGCCUGAUCCAGCCAUGCCGCGUGUGUGAAGAAGGCCUUCGGGUUGUAAAGCACUUUCAGUGGGGAAGAAAGCCUUGGGGCUAAUACCCUCGAGGAAGGACAUCACCCACAGAAGAAGCACCGGCUAACUCCGUGCCAGCAGCCGCGGUAAUACGGAGGGUGCGAGCGUUAAUCGGAAUUACUGGGCGUAAAGCGCGCGUAGGCGGUCUGAUAAGCCGGUUGUGAAAGCCCCGGGCUCAACCUGGGAACGGCAUCCGGAACUGUCAGGCUAGAGUGCAGGAGAGGAAGGUAGAAUUCCCGGUGUAGCGGUGAAAUGCGUAGAGAUCGGGAGGAAUACCAGUGGCGAAGGCGGCCUUCUGGACUGACACUGACGCUGAGGUGCGAAAGCGUGGGUAGCAAACAGGAUUAGAUACCCUGGUAAUC
This 465-nucleotide ribosomal RNA is filed under the name Vreelandella stevensii. RNAcentral describes it as "partial 16S ribosomal RNA". It matches the Rfam family "Bacterial small subunit ribosomal RNA", at positions 338 to 795 of the family's 1533-position model. Lineage: Bacteria; Pseudomonadati; Pseudomonadota; Gammaproteobacteria; Oceanospirillales; Halomonadaceae. The record is from RNAcentral.